UGGAUCCAGACUUUGAUUCUGGCUCAGGACGAACGCUGGCGGCGUGCCUAACACAUGCAAGUCGAACGGGGUCGGCCCCUUCGGGGACUGACUUAGUGGCGAACGGGUGAGUAACGCGUGAAUAACCUGCCUUUCAGUGGGGGACAACAGUUGGAAACGACUGCUAAUACCGCAUGAUACUUUUAGGGGGCAUCCCCUGAAAGUCAAAGCUUUAUGUGCUGAAAGAUGGAUUCGCGUCUGAUUAGCUAGUUGGCGGGGUAACGGCCCACCAAGGCGACGAUCAGUAGCCGGUCUGAGAGGAUGAACGGCCACAUUGGGACUGAGAUACGGCCCAGACUCCUACGGGAGGCAGCAGUGGGGAAUAUUGGGCAAUGGGGGAAACCCUGACCCAGCAACGCCGCGUGAAGGAAGAAGGCUUUCGGGUUGUAAACUUCUUUUACCAGGGACGAAGGACGUGACGGUACCUGGAGAAAAAGCAACGGCUAACUACGUGCCAGCAGCCGCGGUAAUACGUAGGUUGCAAGCGUUGUCCGGAUUUACUGGGUGUAAAGGGCGUGUAGGCGGAGAAGCAAGUUGGGAGUGAAAUUCAUGGGCUCAACCCAUGAACUGCUCUCAAAACUGUUUCCCUUGAGUAUCGGAGAGGCAAGCGGAAUUCCUAGUGUAGCGGUGAAAUGCGUAGAUAUUAGGAGGAACACCAGUGGCGAAGGCGGCUUGCUGGACGACAACUGACGCUGAGGCGCGAAAGCGUGGGGAGCAAACAGGAUUAGAUACCCUGGUAGUCCACGCUGUAAACGAUGAAUACUAGGUGUGGGGGGACUGACCCCCUCCGUGCCG
RNAcentral lists this ribosomal RNA (834 nucleotides) under uncultured Bacillota bacterium. RNAcentral describes it as "bacterial SSU rRNA". It matches the Rfam family "Bacterial small subunit ribosomal RNA", at positions 1 to 848 of the family's 1533-position model. Lineage: Bacteria; Bacillati; Bacillota. The record is from RNAcentral.